Molecule: ribosomal RNA, 125 nt
Filed under: Rhizophydium sp.
Lineage: Eukaryota; Fungi; Chytridiomycota; Chytridiomycetes; Rhizophydiales; Rhizophydiaceae
Description: partial small subunit ribosomal RNA
Rfam family: Eukaryotic small subunit ribosomal RNA
Source: RNAcentral
CCUUUGUACACACCGCCCGUCGCUAGUACCGAUUGAAUGGCUUAGUGAGACCUCCGGAUUGGCGAUUUCUUGGUGGCAACACCAUAAAACUGCCGAAAAGCUGGUCAAACUUGGUCAUUUAGAGG